Molecule: microRNA precursor, 239 nt
Filed under: Daucus carota subsp. sativus
Lineage: Eukaryota; Viridiplantae; Streptophyta; Magnoliopsida; Apiales; Apiaceae
Description: sRNA DCAR_mi00089
Source: RNAcentral
CUGUUUGUCUUUUUACUGUAAAACCCCUUCGACUACUUUCACAAUUAUCCCUAGUAUUUAUCAAAAUAAUUUGAGAAUUUUUAAAGCAACAUAGCUAGAGUGAUCAAAUAAAUAUAUAUUUAUAGCUCAAUUGUUUUUUAAUAUAUAGCUAUACUGUUUUAGAAAUUUCUAGAUUAUUUUGAUAAAUACUAGGGAUAAUUGUGAAAGUAGUCGAAGGGGUUUUACAGUAAAAAGACAAA